Molecule: long non-coding RNA, 1076 nt
Filed under: Vulpes vulpes (red fox)
Lineage: Eukaryota; Metazoa; Chordata; Mammalia; Carnivora; Canidae
Description: lncRNA (ENSVVUG00000018079.1)
Source: RNAcentral
GAGCCACUCAUCAUGCAUGGGUGAGAAUUUCUACUCUACAUCCUGGGACAGAAAGUGAAGACUAUUUCUGGUGUCUCUUGACUCCGUCCUUAUUCCCAAUUCUUCCCCAAAGAAGAAGAGGCAACUAUCUGAUGGGUGAAUUUAAGAGCAAGCACCUAGCAAACUUAGUUUACCCUCCUCUGACUUUUCCGUCUGGCUCUGCGGAGUGUGUAUGCUCUUCCUUCUGGGGAGGGCUGAGCCUCCCCUCUGUGCUAAGGACCAGGAUCAAGCUCACGAACGUCGUCCUCAUCUCAGCAAUUCCCCUUGCCUGCUACAGCUCUCACCUGUCUUGGGUGGAGAAGGGCAUGCUGGAUGGUGUGGAUGGGAACGAUACCUUCCCAGGCAGGUCCCAGGAAAUUCUUGGCAAACCAGCUGUAAUGCUUCCAACUGCUUCUGUUUAACUCAGGAAGGCGUCUUGGAGGAGCCACGGAAGUGAAGGGGCUGUGGUCUUACUGAGACGCUCUCAAAUCUACCUUAAGAUGUCCAUAAAAAUAACCGUUCGUGACCAUCGGUAUUUUAAUAUUGAUCUGCCCGACAGCCAGCUGUGACUUGAGGGGACUGUGAUUCUAGUGGAGAACUGGCUCCCCCGAACCUCAUCCUCCUCUUAGUCUGUGCAAGCUUACUAACUUCUGCCUCAGGAGUUGAAAUCUUUCCCUGCCCUCUUGUCUUACCUCUCAGGGGUCUUCCAAGGAAAAAGGCAUCAUAUUUAUUAUGCAAAACAUUGGGUUUGACCCCCUGAAACCACUUUUUUUUUUAAUGAUAUGAUCUCAUAACCUAUUGGAUUUUUGAAGGAAAGGAAACCCAUGACAGCUCAGUGCACCAACUGCUCCCCUUUCCUGGUGCACACUGAGCCUGCACCACACUGAGCCUGCACGUGACCCCUCAUUCCAUGAUCAGCACCGGGCAAAUACUUCCAAUCAUUAAAACAGACUCCUUUCAAGGGCCACGACUUGUCUGGUCUAUUUAAAGAUCGCCUCUUCAUGCAUUCCCUACAGCGCUUCGGUUCCCCCAGGGGGACCUUAGGCCUGUGGCCCUGG